Molecule: ribosomal RNA, 846 nt
Filed under: Coleosoma sp. 037A
Lineage: Eukaryota; Metazoa; Arthropoda; Arachnida; Araneae; Theridiidae
Description: partial 16S ribosomal RNA
Rfam family: Bacterial large subunit ribosomal RNA (bases 92-391)
Source: RNAcentral
UGAAAACUAGAAUGAAAGGCUUAACGUUUUAAUAAUAUAUUAAUAAUACCAGCUUUCGAAAUUUUAUCAAAUAUAAAAAUAUAUUUAUGUAAUAAAUAGACGAUAAGACCCUAUUGAACUUUACCUACGUUUAGCUGGGGCAGCUCUCUAAUAAAAAUUUUAGAAAAACUUAUAUAAAUCAUUCAAUAGAAUUGAAUUCAUCAAGUUACCAUAGGGAUAACAGCGUAAUAUUAUUCUAAAGUUCUUAUUUAAAAUAAUGUUUGCGACCUCGAUGUUGAAUUAUUAUUCUUUAUUAAUGCAAUAAUUAUAAAAGUAGGUCUGUUCGACCUUUAAUAUAAUACAUGAUUUGAGUUCAAACCGGUGUAAACCAGGUUGGUUUCUAUCUUUUUGUAAUAUUUUUCUAGUACGAAAGGACAAAAAAAUAAAUUAUAAAUUUAAUAAAUAAAUUUAUAUAGCAAAUAAAUGCAUUAGAAUUAGAAUCUAAAAAUACUUAUAUAAAUUCAUUAAUUAAUUUUAUUAUCCCAUUAAUCUGUAUUUUAGUUGCAGUAGCAUUUUAUACAAUCUUAGAACGAAAGAUUUUAGGAUAUAUCCAAAUUCGAAAAGGUCCUAAUAAAGUAGGAUUCAUAGGAAUUUUACAACCUUUUAGAGAUGCUAUUAAACUUUUUAAUAAAAAUCUUAUUUCGUCAGAAUUAAUAAAUUAUUAUUUAUCAUACAUCACUCCCGCUAUAUCUUUAUUUUUAGCUUUAAUAAUCGUAUCGGUUAUCCCUUUUUAUUUUUUUAAUCACUUUGAUAAUAAACAAAAUAUUCUUACAUUCUUUAUCAUUUCUAGUCUAUCAGUUUAUAUUA